RNAcentral lists this ribosomal RNA (237 nucleotides) under uncultured bacterium. RNAcentral describes it as "partial 16S ribosomal RNA". It matches the Rfam family "Bacterial small subunit ribosomal RNA", at positions 15 to 265 of the family's 1533-position model. The record is from RNAcentral.
GAUCCUGGCUCAGGAUGAACGCUGGCGGCGUGCCUAACACAUGCAAGUCGAGCGAUCUCUUCGGAGAGAGCGGCGGACGGGUGAGUAACGCGUGGGUAACCUGCCCUGUACACACGGAUAACAUACCGAAAGGUAUGCUAAUACGGGAUAAUAUAUAAGAGUCGCAUGACUUUUAUAUCAAAGAUUUUUCGGUACAGGAUGGACCCGCGUCUGAUUAGCUUGUUGGCGGGGUACGCC